AUAUCUGCUUAUAUAUGUCUGCUUAUAUAUGUUUAUUUAUUGUUUUAUAAGUAUAUUAUUUUUUGAUUAUAUCUGAAUAUUGUCUAAAUUAUAGCGCUUAUUUGCAGGAUAAAGCAAAAUCAAUCAAUCCUUUCAAGAAGGCUGGUAUACUUUUAGCUGGGAUUUCUUCAGCUGGGGUUGCAUAUGGUCUUCUACCGCAGAACUUUGCUAAACAGCGUAACAUAUUGGGUUAUAGAGAUUUGGCAGUAACAGACAACAGAGGGAAGUGACCAUAAAGCAUUUAACUUCGGAUGGACAUAAAAACGAUUAAUAACUGUCGAAG
Long non-coding RNA from Formica exsecta, 322 nucleotides. RefSeq lists it as uncharacterized. The transcript is spliced from 2 exons. Lineage: Eukaryota; Metazoa; Arthropoda; Insecta; Hymenoptera; Formicidae. The record is from RefSeq and is a predicted model, not a curated record.